Malurus melanocephalus (red-backed fairy wren) is the source of this 791-nucleotide long non-coding RNA. RefSeq lists it as uncharacterized. NCBI's taxonomy places the organism in Eukaryota, Metazoa, Chordata, Aves, Passeriformes, Maluridae. The record is from RefSeq and is a predicted model, not a curated record. The transcript is spliced from 4 exons.
UUCCUCCUCCAAGGCCAGCAAAUCGCAGCUGACUCAAAUCCAUCUGGUCCUUGUCCCCUCUGAGAGCAGCUCUGACCGGGUGCCUGUGAUUCUUCUGCUGCAGUUUUGUGCUUCUCCUCAGCAUUGCCCAGCUCAUCUUGGUCAGCUUUUUUCCAACUUUGGAUAAUCUGACAAAGCCUGGACUCCACCCAGCAGCCAGAGCCUUAUCCACCUGUUCCUGCCUUCUUUCAGGAGACCUGGGAAUCUCUCAUCCACCCUCACGUGGAGGCCUGAAGAGCCCUUAUCUACUCACGUGGCCAAAAACCAGAUGGGAAAAGCAAGAAGAAAAGAGGGAACCAAAGGAUGUGAAAAGAUCCUGAUCAUCCAAUAAUCCCARGUGUUGAUGUAUCAUCCACUGCCCCUUCCCAGGAAACACGGAACUGCAUCCUGCUUCCUCCUCAGCAUCGAUCCUUAAAUAGGCAAAGCACAAACCAUGGCCCAGCAGCUCCAUAUCCAUGGAAACAUGGUGCUCCAGCUCCUCCGAGUCAACAAACACACCAGGAAUGAUUGUGCUGUCAUUCUCACAGCUCCAUCGUGAGCGGUGCUAGGAGACCCUCGGCUGCUGGGUGAUUGUGAUCUGUCGUUGCUGCUUAAAUAACCCUGGCAGAAGGGUAGCACUGCCUCAAUCCUGUGUUCCCAUUCCCAGAGUAACACCUACCACACGCUGCUGCAUUAAGUGUUGUUUGAGGUUUAAAAUUAGAUGGAUAGGCAGAUAAAUAGAGGGAUAUUUGGUGUCUUUGUUGCCUCGUAGA